UCAAUUUGAGCAUCAUAGUUCUGUCAUGACAAGGCAUAAAUUUCCACGAAGACGUACUACAGCUAUUCCUCUCAGAAACUCUCAUGGCACGUGCAACAAGUUUGACUUAGAAUAUAAAGACCCACCUAACGUCAGCUGUAAAAUACAUGGCUGGUCUUUCCACUGCUGAGCUGCUCUGGAUGUCUGGCUUCAGUCAGGAGGUCAUCCUGCCGGAUGACGUGGUGAAGCAGCUGAGUGAGAUCCCGGGGAUUUGGGAGCUGGCCGCAGAAAUGGGCUUCACCCUCCCAUCAACCCCUCAGGCCUCACAGGAGAUCAAUCAGACACACACAACAGCAGAUUUAAUGCGGAGAAAUUGUGAGGAGAAAAAUGAAGUACUAAGAACCACCACAACACCUCUGGACACCAGCAAACAAAUUAAAACAGUGCCUACGACUGCAAAGUACCUUGCCUAUGUGGUGGGUAUAGCUGCAUUAUUGGCAAUUUGGUUGUUAUUUUUCUAAAUCAAUACACCGAGUUUGUGUGAAACAUGGCUGUUUACAUGGUUUGUCC
Molecule: long non-coding RNA, 549 nt
Organism: Alosa sapidissima (American shad)
Lineage: Eukaryota; Metazoa; Chordata; Actinopteri; Clupeiformes; Clupeidae
Exons: 3
Source: RefSeq, a predicted model, not a curated record